GUCCACGCCCGUAAACGAUGGAUGCUAGUUGUUGUGGGUAUUGACCCCUGCAGUGACGCAGUUAACGCAUUAAGCAUCCCGCCUGGGGAGUACGGCCGCAAGGUUAAACUCAAAGGAAUUGACGGGGGCCCGCACAAGCGGUGGAGCAUGUGGUUCAAUUCGAACGCAACGCGAAGAACCUUACCUGGGUUAAAUCCACCAGAAGUCUGCAGAGAUGCGGAUGUGCCCUUCGGGGAACUGGUGAGAAGGUGCUGCAUGGCUGUCGU
Molecule: ribosomal RNA, 266 nt
Filed under: uncultured bacterium
Lineage: Bacteria
Description: partial 16S ribosomal RNA
Rfam family: Bacterial small subunit ribosomal RNA
Source: RNAcentral